Molecule: ribosomal RNA, 433 nt
Filed under: uncultured bacterium
Lineage: Bacteria
Description: partial 16S ribosomal RNA
Rfam family: Bacterial small subunit ribosomal RNA
Source: RNAcentral
AACGAACGCUGGCGGCAUGCCUAACACAUGCAAGUCGAACGAGACCUUCGGGUCUAGUGGCGCACGGGUGCGUAACGCGUGGGAAUCUGCCCUUCGGUUGGGAAUAACUGAGAGAAAUUUCAGCUAAUACCUUAUAAUGUCUUCGGACCAAAGAUUUAUCGCCGAGGGAUGAGCCCGCGUAGGAUUAGGUAGUUGGUGGGGUAAUGGCCUACCAAGCCGACGAUCCUUAGCUGGUCUGAGAGGAUGAUCAGCCACACUGGGACUGAGACACGGCCCAGAAUCCUACGGGAGGGAGCAGUGGGGAAUAAUGGAAAAUGGGCGAAAGCCUGAUCCAGCAAUGCCGCGUGAGUGAUGAAGGACUUAGGGUUGUAAAGCUCUUUUAACCGGGAUGAUAAUGACAGUACCGGGAGAAUAAGCUCCGGCUAACUCCGUG